Molecule: ribosomal RNA, 856 nt
Filed under: Wolbachia pipientis
Lineage: Bacteria; Pseudomonadati; Pseudomonadota; Alphaproteobacteria; Rickettsiales; Anaplasmataceae
Description: bacterial SSU rRNA
Rfam family: Bacterial small subunit ribosomal RNA
Source: RNAcentral
UUGUAGCCCUGGCUAUGGUAUAAGGAUGAGGCAGACGUGGUGAGUAAUGUAUAGGAAUCUACCUAGUAGUACGGAAUAAUUGUUGGAAACGACAACUAAUACCGUAUACGCCCUACGGGGGAAAAAUUUAUUGCUAUUAGAUGAGCCUAUAUUAGAUUAGCUAGUUGGUGGGGUAAUAGCCUACCAAGGUAAUGAUCUAUAGCUGAUCUGAGAGGAUGAUCAGCCACACUGGAACUGAGAUACGGUCCAGACUCCUACGGGAGGCAGCAGUGGGGAAUAUUGGACAAUGGGCGAAAGCCUGAUCCAGCCAUGCCGCAUGAGUGAAGAAGGCCUUUGGGUUGUAAAGCUCUUUUAGUGAGGAAGAUAAUGACGGUACUCACAGAAGAAGUCCUGGCUAACUCCGUGCCAGCAGCCGCGGUAAUACGGAGAGGGCUAGCGUUAUUCGGAAUUAUUGGGCGUAAAGGGCGCGUAGGCUGGUUAAUAAGUUAAAAGUGAAAUCCCGAGGCUUAACCUUGGAAUUGCUUUUAAAACUAUUAAUCUAGAGAUUGAAAGAGGAUAGGGGAAUUCCUGAUGUAGAGGUAAAAUUCGUAAAUAUUAGGAGGAACACCAGUGGCGAAGGCGUCUAUCUGGUUCAAAUCUGACGCUGAAGCGCGAAGGCGUGGGGAGCAAACAGGAUUAGAUACCCUGGUAGUCCACGCUGUAAACGAUGAAUGUUAAAUAUGGGGAGUUUACUUUCUGUAUUACAGCUAACGCGUUAAACAUUCCGCCUGGGGACUACGGUCGCAAGAUUAAAACUCAAAGGAAUUGACGGGGACCCGCACAAGCGGUGGAGCAUGUGGUUAAUCGAUGCAACGCG